GAGCAGAGAGCAGUGCAGGGGCAGGGAGGUCGCCUGCCCGCAGCACAGAGGUCCCCAACUUCCCCUUCUUCGUGCAGAAGGCGGCGAGACGGCGGUGAGACAACAGCAGCUGCACAGAUGAGAAAACCUGAAGCACAGAAAGGUCAAGUUCCUUGCCUAAGGUCAGACCUCAAGUGCUGAAUACUGGAACUAGUUAUCGAAUUUACAUCUUCUGAAGGCUCUGUUCUGCUCUCCACUUGUCGCCUCAUCCAAACAGCAACUCAGCCACCAGGCCAUCUUUAGGAGGCUGCAGCGCAUUGUGGGAGAGAGCACUUGACUUGGAGUCUGGGUUUGCGUUUCGGCUGCCCACUGGCCUGCUGAAGAACCCCGGGAAAACCCUUGUGUGGUAUUCAGUUUUGCCACGGUCAAUGGAACCUUCUUGAGAGUCAGGGCGGGAGCCAGUUCUUGGAGGAGACUCGGUACAGGACAUGGAUCGCUGCGGGGCCCUUUUCCUCUGCCUGUGCCUCUUGAUGUCUCAGAGCAGAACAGAGGAGGCAUCCCAAGAAAUCCUGCGCUGGAUGAAGAGAAUGGAGACGGCAGCCAGGAGCCGGAGCCUCACUUCUUUUGCUGAGCUCAUCCAUGGCCUAGAGUCAAGGCUACUCAAUGCCAGCUUUGGGGGCCAUAACCUCACUUUGCGGACGCAUACCAUCCAGACACUAGCCUUCAAGCUGGGCUGCAACUUCACUGGCCUCUCACUGGGAAGUGCUGCUCUGCAGCAGGUCCCCCAGGCCCAGGUCCCACUCGCCAUGCAGUUCCCAGCUGAGUUGACUCAUGAUGCCUGCAGGGUGCGCCCCAGGGAGCUGACUCUCAUCUGCAUCUACUUCUCCAACACCCGCUUUUUUCAGAAAGACAUCAAUUCAUCUGUGCUCAAUAACUAUGUUCUGGGGGCCCAGCUGAGCCAUGGACAAGUGAGCAACCUCCGUGAGCCGGUGAACAUCAGCUUCUGGCACAACCAAAGCCUGGAAGGCUACACGGUGACCUGUGUCUUCUGGAAGGAGGGAGCCAGCAAGCACCACUGGGGGGCCUGGAGCACUGAGGGCUGUCGCACAGAGCAGCCCUCACCUUCCCAGGUGCUCUGCCGCUGCAACCACCUCACCUACUUUGCUGUUCUCAUGCAACUCUCCCAGGCCCCGGUCCCUGCAGAGCUGCUGGCGCCCCUCACAUACAUCUCCCUGGUGGGCUGCAGCAUCUCCAUCGUGGCCUCGCUGCUCACUGUCCUGCUGCACCUCCUUGCCAGGAAGCCGAGUGAUUCCAUUACGUGCAUCCACGUGAACCUGCACGCCUCGGUGCUGCUCCUCAAUGUCGCCUUCCUGCUGAGCCCAGUGCCAGCCGUGCCCCCCGUGCCUGAGUCAGCAUGCGUGGCACUGGCUGCCACCCUGCACUACGCGCUGCUCAGCUGCUUCACCUGGAUGGCCAUUGAAGGCUUCAACCUCUACCUCCUACUUGGGCGCGUCUACAACAUCUACAUCCGCCGAUACGUGCUCAAGCUCUGUGCCCUGGGCUGGGAUGCUGGGUGCGGGACGCCUGGGUGCACGGUAUCCUGGUCAUGGGCUCUGGUGGCCUCACAUCCCUUUUCAACCUGGUGGUGCUGGCCUGGGCGCUACGGGUCCUGCACAGACUGCGGGCGCAGGAGAAGGCGCUGGGUCCCCGGGCCUGCUGGGAUACCGUCACCGUGCUGGGCCUCACCGUGCUGCUGGGCACCACCUGGAUCUUGGCCUUCUUCUCCUUUGGUGUCUUCCUGCUGCCCCAGCUCUUCCUCUUCACCACCUUCAAUUCGCUCUACGGUUUCUUCCUCUUCCUGUGGUUCUGCUCCCAGAGGCGCCACUCAGAGGCGGAGAUGGAGGCAUUCUGCUCCUCCCAGAUGGUGCAGUAGUCUGGACUGUCUGGACCUCCUGGCCUGGAGCCCCCAGCUUCUCUGGCUGCCUGCAGCCGGAGGCCCUGGCUUCCACUCGAGAAGAUGGCAGGCCAGCUGCUGGACACCAGAGGCCACUGUCACCUCCAGGGGGCCUUUUCCACCUCCAUGCCUUCCCCAGGCCCAGAGGGCCGCGUGUUGCUCUCUGUCCCCAGGCAUUCUGCUCUGGGGCAGGUCCAGCCCCACCUGGGGGCAGCAAACUUGCCCCUGGUGCCUGGGCCCAGCUGGCCAGGCCUAUGGCCAGAGCACUGGCCUGGGAGUCAGGAGGCCACGUUUCAAUGCCUUUCUCUGAGUUUCACUGUCUGACCUUGGGCCUGUCAUUUCUCACUGACUCUUGGUUUCCACAUCUGUGACAUGGUGGCAGAUGGCUCUGGUCCUGCCUAAUCCCAGAGCUUUAUGCAGAUUCAAUGGCACCAGGGAGGACGAGGUCAUAGUGGGGUGGGGAUCCCCACCCCGGCCUGGGCCUGCCCUUGAAACACCUGCUGGGCCCUGCUUCCUUCCUCCGGGAGAGGGUCAGCCUUGGCCGGGGGUCCCCAGCCCAGCGCUUAGAGACCCACCCAGUGUGUGAGACCUCACCAGCCUGUAACUGAGGCCUCUUUUCCUUUAACCCCCAAAUUAUGAUGACUCUAACUCCAAGUCCACCCUUCCCAAAGAUCAGGAAGUCCAGUCCUUUCCAGAGGCUCCUCUUCCAGCGUUCCCCAGACCCCCAUAGGCCAUUAAGACCAGCAGCUGGGGCCACAGGGCUUCCUGGAGGUGGGAGGGGAGCACCUCUUUCCCCUCCAUCUGAGUUCCAGUGAUCCGGCUAUUUGAUGACUGGGCAGGAUUGAAUUUCACCUGGUAGGCGUGAGGGUGUGGGUUCUAAAUCCCAAGCUUGUUUGUCUGUUCUCUUGGAGUUGGUGGGCACCUAAAGUAUUUAUAAAUUGGUAUAAAUUAUACAAGUCUUUUGUCAGGCUUCCCAUUUCAGUUUCCUUCCUGUUUGUUUUGUUAGCUGUCGCAGUUGUAGAAAAUCACCAUUGCCCUUGCCCUGUCCUGUCAGGCCAAGUGGGAGACCACUCAUGAAGCGAGCGCCUUUCCCAGGCUUCACACCAGGGGGCCCUGUCGGCCAAUGUCAGAAGCCACUGGGUCCAAAACCAUGUCUGGUGAUGCUGUGGUCGCCUGUCUGUGGGUAUGACACACCAGAUGGAGAGGCUCUGCCUCCAGGACUGCACCUGCUGGGCGACCAGCAGGAGGAAUGCUAGCAUUGCCUACACAGCCAUUUCUCUCUUUCCCAACGCAGCCACCCGCUCUGGCUCUUGGGGUCUCAUGCUCUGGGCAUACGUGGCACUAGAGCGCUGGGCUGGGGUAGGCUCUCAGGGCCCCGCUCCAGGCCAUCAGAUAGAUUGCGAUGACUUUGAACGUCACUGGGAGGGAGUUGGAGCCGGAUCCCUUUUCUCCCAGGGGGACCCUCUGCCCUCUGUUCAUUUCUUGAUAUGAAUAGCCCUUCACUAAUUGGUGAGUGGCGCAGGCUCCGCAUACUGCCUGGGCUCAAGGGCCCGCUCUGUCACUUGUCAGCUGUGUGACUGUGGACAAGCCACUCCACCUCUCUGUGCCUGAGUUUUCCCAUCUGUAAAAUGGGGCAAUAGUAAUACCUAUUUUGAAGGGUAAAUAAAAUAACCCAUAUAAAGAGGCGUAGCAGAGGGUAAGUGCUCAGUAAAGGGUUAUCGUUAUCAUUCGUAUUUUGUUAUUAUUAUUACAGUGUCAACUGAGUCUCAGAGGCCGACCCUCUAAGGUCCAGUCUGCUCGGCCUCACAGGCCCAGCUCCUCGCUCAGCAUAUCCCGCUGUCCUUCGGCUGCGCUACCUCCUCUCCCACUUUCCCCAGAGCUGCCUUUGGUCCAGCCUUGCUGGCCUUUUGUUAUUUUAGGGACAUUUCUCACAUGGUACAGGCUCCAGGCCAUUGCCACCUGUCCCCCUACCCCUCGGUUUUCAAAUCCUCUGAUCUAUCUAAAUUCUCAGGGGCUCAGUUAUCAUGCCUCCCAUGAAAUCUCUCCAGUUUUCCCACAGAAGAGGUCUCUCUCCCACUCCUACUCCAGCAGAGUGUCCCCCUGCCUCUCUCAGGGUGAUGUGAGCCCCCAUUCGAGCUCCCCUAGUUUGGCCAGCCCUAGCUUGUACUAGGCUCCCCAGGCCUUGGGGUGGGCCCCCGUCCCAAUGCGGGUGCCAAGGAUCACGGGCACGUCCGGCCUCUCUCUUGGGCAGCUCCGGGGAGCGGUCCGCAGCCCACUGAAGCAGGGCCUUGCCUAGGACCCAGCCCAGCCCAGACCUGGCCUUUUAGAUCCUACCAAGCCUAGGGCUGCCCAAGGGAGGAUGUGGCCACAGUGACACAGAAUGGUUCUGGUAAUUCUAGGAAACGGCCCCAGCUCUGUGGCCCUGAGCCUGGUUGGGGGUUCAGGCGCUGGGCAGGGACCACUUCCCGGAAACGCCCUAACCGGGUGGGGGGCAGGGCUGAGGGAGCCGUUGAUGGGCCUCAGUGCCCUCCCCUCACUCCCAGUGGGGUCCUGGCCUUGCCCAGACUGGGCACCGGGCCCAUCUGUCAAGGGCUUCCAGACUUAGUGGGAAGAUGGAGCUGGAGGCCCCUAGGGCUCACUGCUCAGGGCCAGAGUCUCCGAGGAGGCCCGGGGUGAAGGAGGACAAGUCGAAGCCAGAAAGGCCACAGACUAGCAGUUUCUAUGUUGCUUUGUUGCUGUUUUUUUUUCAGAAAGACAAUGUGUGUAUGGGGGGAGGAGGGUUGAAUGAGGGUUGCCCGAUAAAAUACAGGAUGCCCAAUUUGAGGGACAGAUACAAAAAAAUGUUCACUGUUUAUCUGAAAUUCAAAUUUUAUCCUGUAGAUCUCCAUCUAUUUAUUUUUUUCUUUUCUUUAUUUCUUUUGCUAAGUCUGGCAACACUCUUAGAAAGGAGCAUUGGCUCUGGAGUCCGAGGUGUCCACUCUUUACCCUUCAAAUCGAUCCACCCUGUGCUGACUGGGGACCCCUCUGCCCACUGCAUGAGCCCUGCACUCAACUCGAGCCUCCUCCUCCAGGGCUCCCAUUGCCAGCCAAGGUUGCCACCAGAAUGCUAAAGGGCUCUGCCUUGUGGUGCCCCUCCCAUCAACCAUGGUGCAGACCAGCCUCCAUCCGCCACAGAGCCUCUUCACAGGCCUCCCUGCCUCCCCACUCCCAGUCUGAGCUUGACUCAGAAGCCAGAGGGAAUUUUUUUGUCCUGUAACCUGACCAUGUCCCUCUCUGCUGAAACCCUCCUUGUAGUCGAAUUCCCCUCCGGAGCUCGAAGACCCUGGGGGUCUGACCUGUGCUCACUUCUCCCACCCGUCUCCCACCAUUCCUUCCUCAUCCUCCUUGCUUCUGCCACCCUUAACUAUUAAUACUUCAAGUUCCCUGAACAGGUCCUUUCUCACCUCCAGGACUUGGCACAAGCUGCCUGGAGCACUGUCCGUCAGGUCUUUCAUUUGCAGAAAGAUGGCAACACACCCUUAUGAUCUCAGCUUUGCAGCCUCUCCUGAUCUCCAUGUGUCUGGACCAGGAAGCUGCCCCUGACCUGUAAAAUCUAGGAUGGGACCUUCUCUCGCCUCCAUAGCCUUUGCCCUUCCCCCACGACAAUAGUUAUUUCUCUCUCUUAUGAAUGUCUGUGUCAUUUCAAAAGUGAAUUAUCAUCUGCAAAUUUACUUCAACAAAUCUUUUAAAAAUUGGUAGACUAGGGAGACAAAGCCACCAGCAGCAUGGGAUAUUUCAAAUGCUUCUCUUAAUUAUUGAUGGCAAAGCUGAACAAAUUAGCCAAGAUAUGGAAGAUUUGGACAACAUAAGCAACAGACUUGAUAUAAUGGACAUUAAUUGAAUUUUGUCUCCCACGAUCAGAUUCUCCUUAAGCACUUAUGGACUAUUUUCAAAACUUAAUAGUAUACUAGAUUAGAAAGCCACCUCCAAAAAAGUUUCAAAGAAUUGCUAUUAGAGCACAUUCUUUGACCUCAGUGCAGUGGAGUUAGUAAGCACAAGCACAACUUUAAUACUGUUUGAAGAAAAUAUAGGUUAAUAUCUUUCUGACUUCAGGGUGGGGAAACAACUCUUAAAGAAAACACCAAAAAGGUGUUAACCAUGAUGAAAAGAUGCAACUGACCACAUUAAAGAUAAUUUCUGUUUGAGAUAGAGUCACAGAUGUAGAAAACAAACAUAUGGUUACCAAGGGGGAGGGGGGGGAGGGAUAAAUUGGGAGAUUGGGAUUGACAUAUGCACACUACUAUAUAUAAAAUAGGUAACUACUAAGGACCGACUGUAUAGCACAGCAAACUCUUCUCAAUACUCUGUAAUGACCUAUAUGGGAAAAAAAAAUCUAAAAAAUAGUGGGUACAUGUAUAUGUAUAACUGAUUCACUUUCCUAUACAUCAGAAACUAACACAACAUUUUAAAUCAACUACACUCCAAUAAAAUUUUUAAAAAAUUAAAAAUAAUUUCUGUUUCCCAAAAGACACCUGAAAAUAAGUGAAAAGACGAGCCAUAUCUGGGAAAAGAUGUAAGCACAGAGCUGGUAUCAAGAUCCCCUAUGGAUCAGUAAGAAAAGAUAAACAACUUAAGAGAAAAAUGAGCAAAAACCAUGACCUGGCAUUCCACAAAAGAUGAAAUGGCCAGAAAACAUGAUGGGAUCUUAAGUUCACUAGCGAUCAGGGACAUGGAAAGGAAGACCACAAUGAGACGUUAUUUUUUACCCAGUUGGCUGGUAAAAAGUGCGACAUCUGACACUGUUAAAUGUUGGCUGGGAUGUGGAUCAGCAGGAACUCUCAAAAUUGCUGUCAGGACUGUAAAGUGAUUCAAGCCUCGUGGAAAAACAGUUUGGCAUUCCUCUGUAAAGAUAACAGUGGCACACCCGUGUCCCAGCCAUUCCACUCCCAGGAUUCUAUCUGAGAGGAAGCCCUGCAGGUGUAUCUAGUUACACAUCUGAAAGUGUUCAUAAGAGCACUGCUGGCAAUCGCAGAAAUGCUGCAACAACGUGGUGAAUCUAAGACACGCGGUGCUGAGUUGAAAAACUCAAAUCCCAGAGACUGUACAUGGUUUGAUACUCUUUAGUUUGAAACCCAGCACAAGCAAAUGAUAUCUAAGCAUGUAUACUCUACUAAGCUCUACAGACAGAGUGAGUGAGUGACAGCCACAAAGUUCAGGACGCCUCUGGGGAGGGAGAGGGGAGGAGGGGGAAGGGUAGUGGAGGCUCCAGAAUUUGGAUUUUAUUGGAAGGCAAAGGGGAGCUGGUUUCUGAGAAGAGUGAUGUGAUUCCAACUUUUUUUUUUUUAAUUUGAAAUUAAGUUUAUUCGUGCAUUAAACAGUUACAGAAUACCCAUGGGACAUUUUUAGUCCAACAAUUAAAAUUGCAUUUAAAAGCCAACUGGAAGAGUUUACAGACCAAAAAGACAUCUGGAGUAACUACUGUUCCCCUUUCCUUGAGUUUAUAUAUAUUUACCUUUUAGGCAAGAGAGAGAACUGUGAUUACUUCGUAUUCCAGGGGAUGUGAUUUCCAGUUCCAUUGUCUUAAUGUGUAUAAGAUUCUUCUGUGAAGGCCAGAGAAGGUCAAAGAAUUUGAUGUUGAUUGGAAGAAUUAAGAAGACAAGACUAAUGGUCAUGGCGAGGCUGAGAAGGCUGCGGCGGGAGCUCAUACCUACUUGGACUUCUCACAUACGUUGGUGCCCAAACCUAACCAGGACUGGACCGUGUCAAACACUUCUCUGAACAAAGUGGUUCAUCAGUUUUCUCUUCAGGGUGCAUUCCAAGGCAACAGUGUGAUCCAUGAUGAAUUUUUCCUGGUCUGUUUUUGGCUUGUCUCGGUGCUAAAGUCUAUGGCAAUACAAAACAGCACGAUCAUUUACUGUGAGACCUGCCCGAGUCAAAGAAUGGGCUCUCUUAAGUCUCAGCAGUCAGGGUUUAACCUAGCUCAUUUUUCUUGGCUAUUCUCAUCAUCCAGAUGACAGGAAACUCCUGUGGGGCAUCUCUUUUAUUCUCCUCCAUGGGUUCCAAAGGGCAGUCUUGACCUAUGGCCAGCACCUGUCCGACAGUCACGUCAGCACGAGCAGCUUUCAAGUAGCUGGCACGCACCUGCCAGUCCUCCACAGAACAGGGCUCCACCACUGAGUCUCUGGGGAGGUCAGCUGGGAGAGGCGUCUCUAGGCAGCAAGGAAGGCUCUCCCCUUCUGGACUGGGAAGGACCCUCGGGACUGCAUGGUUCAACAGGCGGCUGAGACCUGACAUUACCAUGAUGUCACCGCUGUGCAUAAACAUGGGCGUGGGGGCUUCAUCUCUUUUGAGGUCACCCAGGGGAAAGAUGGCAGACUGUCCAAAGCUGAACGACAGCAGGGGUUUGGAGUGCUCUAGUUCAGAUUUAUCUACAUGGGUUCCCAGCGUGGAGUCUCAUCGGUAGUAAUUCAGGAUACCAGCUUCAGCUCGGAAACCCUGAAAUCCACAGGCGGUGUCCACUUACCCUGAGAGGAAAGUCAGGUCAGCAGGGGAAGGUGUGUAGUGAUCUGCAGAGUAUUUCUUACUGUCCCAGUUACAAUGGUAGCCUAGGGUCACCCAGUGCAGUUUCUCUAAUAAACUUCAGGGUCUCCAUUUAUUCACUUCUUUAUACCUUAGAAGCUCUUUGCUCUGUUCCCACAAAUCUUGGGUCUCUUCUUAGUCACAUGUGUGUCCAGGUUACAUACAUUGGGUUUCUGGGAAUAUGACUUAAGGCACUGCUUCACCUAAUGCCGCUGGUGACCUGGGAGGAAGGGUUUGGGAUAAAAAUAAAUCUGGGGUAGGCUUGCAGUCCGUAGGCUCGCCACUUGCUGGCCAGCUGAAGUCCUGCUCUGUAUGCAUCGUGGUCACUGGCUGGGGACACAUUUAGCUGAGAUUUGACUACCCUGGGGGCACCAGGCCCCGUGCCUUGGGCUGCUUGGGCCGCCAAGAAGUCAGUGACCCCUCCCAGGUCUGCGGUGCUGGGGCGGCUCUGCCGGCAGAAGCGGAAAAGCUUCGGAAAGGCGUCCUCCCCAGGCUCCGCUACCAGCAUCGCCACAGCGCCCACGGCCACUGCCACCUUCCCCAUCUUGCUGCCUGGCCUCGUCUCCAUCCUGUUGUUGAAAAACAACGAAAAGCCCAUGGGCAACCUGCAGAGGGCAGCGAGGACUCCCACAUUCCUGCCAACUGCAAGGUGGGGCAUUUCCAGCAAGAGUGCAUCUGAGGCCCUGACUUGGCUUUCCCACCUCUGUUAAGUAAGAAAACUGGGUUGUUUGCAGCGUAUGCCUCUGGUGCCAGCAUCACUCCGAUUUCGGCCGCUGUGCGGGGUACAAACCUCCCACCAGAGAGCCAGUCUUUCCACAUUCUACCCAGGGUCUUCUCCAACACUGUGGAAAAGACUGGAAUGGGGGCGUGAUAGCUGAUGAAUGGGCUCCCCACCUCCUGACCUUCAUGGAGACAGCUCUGGAGCUCCUCAGAGGUCCUGGAGGUCCCCCUGCCUACAGCAGUGACCUUGAUAAUGCCCUUGUAUUUGGAUGUCUGCCUGCCCUGUCUCACUCUCCCCACCCCUCACUCCUCCCUCGGGCAACAUCUUCUAGACGCCCAAGCCCUUGUCUCAGGCUUCCUUCUCCUCUUGUUCUUAUUGAUUUCUGGGGGAUAUUUACAUAUUCUGGAUAUGACUCCCUUGUCUGUUACACUAUUGCAAUUAUAUUUUCCCACUCUGUGAUUUUUCUAUUCACUUUUUUCCCCUGUAGUCUUUUUUUUUUUAAGUAAAAAAUUUUUUGGCCUCA
This is an RNA transcript of Orcinus orca (killer whale), 9735 nucleotides long. It is a transcript of the gene named adhesion G protein-coupled receptor G5, with no coding region annotated. NCBI's taxonomy places the organism in Eukaryota, Metazoa, Chordata, Mammalia, Artiodactyla, Delphinidae. The transcript has 15 exons. The record is from RefSeq and is a predicted model, not a curated record.